RNAcentral lists this unclassified non-coding RNA (213 nucleotides) under Hevea brasiliensis (rubber tree). Lineage: Eukaryota; Viridiplantae; Streptophyta; Magnoliopsida; Malpighiales; Euphorbiaceae. The record is from RNAcentral.
GUUGGCUCCGAAGUCAGGCUCACCAUUGGUGGUCCUCAUGAAAUCCCAUGCAGUUCUCCCCAGGGCUAAAAAAUGGUCCUUCCCUUGAUGCUUCUGCCACCAUGNNNNNNNGCUUCUGCCACCAUGGCCGCGUUUGCAGGUACUCCACUAAUCGAACGGCUAAUUCAUCGCGUGCCGUGUGAUUGGCUUCGCGGAACUUGCUGGACGCAUGAA